UACAGAGGUGGCUAGCGUUGUUCGGAUUGAUUGGGUGUAAAGGGUGCGUAGGCGGUUUAGAAAGUUGGAUGUGAAAGCCCAUGGCUCAACCAUGGAAUUGCAUUCAAAACUUCUAGACUGGAGUGCGAGAGAGGUGAAGGGAAUUCCCGGUGUAAGGGUGAAAUCUGUAGAGAUCGGGAGGAACACCAGUAGCGAAGGCGCUUCACUGGCUCGUAACUGACGCUGAUAGCACGAAAGCAUGGGUAGCAAACGGGAUUAGAUACCCUAGUAGU
This 272-nucleotide ribosomal RNA is filed under the name uncultured bacterium. RNAcentral describes it as "partial 16S ribosomal RNA". It matches the Rfam family "Bacterial small subunit ribosomal RNA", at positions 524 to 794 of the family's 1533-position model. The record is from RNAcentral.